UGGAGAAUACUAAUAACGCCGAGAGCCCAUUCCAGCACUCUGCCAGGAGUGUCCUUCUCGUUAAAGUAAUAACAGCAGAAAUGGGACCCUUAAAGCCUGCUGAUUUUUGACUAAGUCCUUGUCAAGGGUAAUCUGGGGCAUGUUAAAUAAGCCAUGGCUUUCCUGAAAGACGAAAAUGAUGUGAUAUCGAAAGAAUGACGUACAGGUGGGUCAAGUUUUACAUGAAUAAAUAUGAAUAAAAUAAUUAGCUAUGACGUCAUGGAUCGGAAUAAACUGGUUCUCUCAGCAACAUUUGUGAAAAGUAGCUGAGUUAGAACCCGCUAGACAACCUGUUCUCAAGUUCUCAUGAGCUAUACCUCAGGUAGUUGAAAGUCGGAAGCUCGGCCUCCUAAUCAAACCCAGCAAGGAUGCCUGGGCCACUAUUCGAGUGUUACAAGCCUGUAUGACUAAGUUCUACCUCUGGAAGCAACGACGAUAGGGCGAUAAUCAUUUUGCAUCCUCCCAGGGAUCAGCUUUGAUACAAAAAGACUGACAUGAGUAGUGGGAAGAGCCCUGGCCCUUCCUAGGAUGCCUAAACACUG
RNAcentral lists this long non-coding RNA (581 nucleotides) under Homo sapiens (human). Its description in RNAcentral is "HSALNT0101101". The record is from RNAcentral. Lineage: Eukaryota; Metazoa; Chordata; Mammalia; Primates; Hominidae.